Molecule: long non-coding RNA, 258 nt
Filed under: Mytilus galloprovincialis (Mediterranean mussel)
Lineage: Eukaryota; Metazoa; Mollusca; Bivalvia; Mytilida; Mytilidae
Source: RNAcentral
GGCUUAUUGUAUGUAGGCCAUACAGAGACCUAUUUAUCAAUCUGUCAUUUUAGGUUUUGCGUUCUAACAGGUAACAAGGAGCAUGUCACUGAACCUAUGUUUAUUUUUUAUUGAUACAUGUACAGUGAAACCUGACUAAACCGAAUCCUGCAUAAACCAAACAUGUUCUUAAGCACCAUCAUAUCAAAUUGUAUGCGUUGUGAACCUGAUAAAACAGAACAUCAGCCAAAACCAAACAAAAUCUUAAAUACUGAAGAG